Molecule: long non-coding RNA, 879 nt
Organism: Panicum virgatum (switchgrass)
Lineage: Eukaryota; Viridiplantae; Streptophyta; Magnoliopsida; Poales; Poaceae
Exons: 4
Source: RefSeq, a predicted model, not a curated record
AUCUGCAGCUUGAUGCUGGACAGUGUGCCCAUUUCUGGUGGACCAUUGAUUCAAGGGAUCCUAUUAGGAACAAAAAAUAUGCCUUGAGACAAACAGAUCUCCAUAUGCAGCAGCACUCUAAUCAGUGCCUUACCAGUUGACUCUUAUUCAGGUACCCUUUCUAGUUCUAACAGAUCUAAAAAUUCUGAGAUUUAGCAGUAAUUCUUCUUGUUAAUUAUAUUACCUGCUAAGCUGUUCUAGUAUUCAGGCCUUAAAAGUACUCAUGGGUAAUGAUCUGAUGAACAAACUGCUUGUUCAAGAAAAUUACUAUUGGUUAUUAUGAGACUCUUAUGCUUCUUGGAAGAUAGGUUCGAGUUGUACUUCAGAUUUGCAUGUCCUGUGUUCUGAUCAGUGGCUUACCAAUGCACCUGUAAUCAGGUUUAAUGAGCUCUGUUAUUUGCGGUUCUCCAUUGGUGAUUGGCUGAUAACUUCUGCUAUCCAUAUUAUAAAGUGGUUUUUAAAAUCAGUUACUUUUCAUCUGCCUAGCUUGGGCGCAGUCUGCUGGAUGUUUGAAGUCUUGAUGGGUUAUCAUCUGAUAAUUCUCUUUCAACAAAUAAAUAAUUAACAUUGAAUCUGGGCAUAAGUCAUUCUCUUGUUAACAGGUAAAGCUUCCAAGGCUACCACUAUAUUGCAUCUUCAUUUCAUUCUCUUGUUACCGUACUACUCAUUUUGCUAAAAAAUAUCUUGUGCCUAGUGUAUUAGAUCCUGACCCAUAUGGAAUAGCAUUAUGUAUGAUUUACUGAAGAUAUAAAGAAAAAUUUAGCGAUAUUCAGAUUAAUAACAAGGUGCCCCAGGGUCUUGGUCUCUUGGAUGUCUAGUUGCCUACAUGCCAUGUAAAUA